GUAGGAGCCACGCUGGAUCUACUUAUUACAACAGUCACUCAAUCGGCACAUCCAUCAUCGGAAACUACAAUGACAUCCUGCCAACCCCCGGUGUACUUCAGGUUUUAAAGGAUCUGAAUGAGUGUGGUGCCAAGUCAGGCUACAUGACCUCAAGAUACGUCCUUCGUGGCCACCGUGAUGUCAGGCAACUCGGCCCCACAGACUGCCCAGGCGAGACCCUAUAUAAAGAGAUCCGAACAUGGCCUCACUACCUCGAGUCGGACAAGACAUCCCAUCCAGAGUCGGACAAGACAUCCCAUCCGGAUGUUUAGGACGUUGUAAGAUUCAGUUUCCGAAUCUGAUGUUCCUCUUAAAAAAAAA
Long non-coding RNA from Asterias rubens (European starfish), 360 nucleotides. RefSeq lists it as uncharacterized. The record is from RefSeq and is a predicted model, not a curated record. The transcript has 2 exons. Lineage: Eukaryota; Metazoa; Echinodermata; Asteroidea; Forcipulatida; Asteriidae.